CUUUAUUUUGAGCAGCUCUGUUCCUAAUGGCAACCUGGGAGGCUGGCUUUCCAGCCUGUUUUCAAGCAGUGCUCAGCAAAGCCACAUCACCGCAAGGUGUUAGGAAUGCCCCCGUGAGGAAGAGGAAGUGAACUGAGGACUCAGCAAGAAGAUGGCCAUCUAUGAACCAGGAAGCGGACCCUCACCAGACAGAAAAUCUGCCAGCACCUUGAUCUUGGACUUCCAGCCUCCAGAAUCAUAAGAAAUAAAUUUCUCUUGUUUAUAAUUCUCUAUGGUAUUGUUGGUAUAGCAAUGUGAACUAAGACAUAAGUUGAGAUCUGAGUGAUAAGAAGUAGCAAAUCAUGUUAGUUAGGAGGACAGAGUGCAUUGAGCAGAGGCCUCAACUAACAUGAAGUACCAAAAGUAGAACGAAGUUUAAAAAGUCCCAGUGGGGCUAGGAAGAAGGCCAGUGGGCCUAGAGUGGGGCGGGUGAGGGCAGAAGGCAAGGAGGUAUGUGUGGAGAAGUGGCUGACCCUGGUUUACAUAGCUCGGUC
Molecule: long non-coding RNA, 533 nt
Filed under: Homo sapiens (human)
Lineage: Eukaryota; Metazoa; Chordata; Mammalia; Primates; Hominidae
Description: non-protein coding lnc-PSD3-7:4
Source: RNAcentral